Gopherus agassizii (Agassiz's desert tortoise) is the source of this 156-nucleotide unclassified non-coding RNA. Lineage: Eukaryota; Metazoa; Chordata; Testudines; Testudinidae. The record is from Ensembl.
CUGACAGCACUAGAAAUGUUCUUAUCUACAGAGCAACAGCAGUGCAAGCUUCCCUUAAUCAUUCUGCCAAUAUGCUCAAGCCCCCUGUUGUGGAGGAAUCACCUCUAAGGGUUAGAAGAUAGUUCAGUCUCCAUGCCCCUUCAAUCCUUUGCCUCU